UGGCGGCGUGCCUUACACAUGCAAGUCGAACGGCAGCACGGGGGGUAACCCCUGGUGGCGAGUGGCGAACGGGUGAGUAAUAUAUCGGAACGUGCCCUGUAGCGGGGGAUAACCUAUCGAAAGAUGGACUAAUACCGCAUACGCUCUACGGAGGAAAGCGGGGGUCGCAAGACCUCGCACUAUAGGAGCGGCCGAUAUCGGAUUAGCUAGUUGGCGGGGUAAAAGCCCACCAAGGCGACGAUCCGUAGCUGGUCUGAGAGGAUGAUCAGCCACACUGGAACUGAGACACGGUCCAGACUCCUACGGGAGGCAGCAGUGGGGAAUUUUGGACAAUGGGCGCAAGCCUGAUCCAGCCAUGCCGCGUGAGUGAAGAAGGCCUUCGGGUUGUAAAGCUCUUUCGGCAGGAACGAAAUGGUUCGUGUUAAUACCACGGACUGAUGACGGUACCUGAAGAAGAAGCACCGGCUAACUACGUGCCAGCAGCCGCGGUAAUACGUAGGGUGCAGGCGUUAAUCGGAAUUACUGGGCGUAAAGCGUGCGCAGGCGGUUUCUUAAGUCAGAUGUGAAAGCCCCGGGCUUAACCUGGGAACUGCGUUUGAAACUGGGAGACUUGAGUGUGGCAGAGGGGGGUGGAAUUCCACGUGUAGCAGUGAAAUGCGUAGAUAUGUGGAGGAACACCGAUGGCGAAGGCAGCCCCCUGGGUUAACACUGACGCUCAUGCACGAAAGCGUGG
This 733-nucleotide ribosomal RNA is filed under the name uncultured bacterium. Its description in RNAcentral is "bacterial SSU rRNA". It matches the Rfam family "Bacterial small subunit ribosomal RNA", at positions 37 to 764 of the family's 1533-position model. The record is from RNAcentral.